This 466-nucleotide ribosomal RNA is filed under the name uncultured bacterium. RNAcentral describes it as "bacterial SSU rRNA". It matches the Rfam family "Bacterial small subunit ribosomal RNA", at positions 917 to 1382 of the family's 1533-position model. The record is from RNAcentral.
GGACCCGCACAAGUGGUGGAGCAUGUGGUUUAAUUCGAAGAUACGCGAAGAACCUUACCUGGCCUUGACAUUGAUAGAAUCUUUCAGAGAUGAGAGAGUGCCCUUCGGGGAGCUUGAAAACAGGUGCUGCACGGCUGUCGUCAGCUCGUGUCGUGAGAUGUUGGGUUAAGUCCCGCAACGAGCGCAACCCUCGUCACUAGUUACUAACGGUUCGGCCGAGGACUCUAGUGAGACUGCCUUCGCAAGGAGGAGGAAGGUGAGGACGACGUCAAGUCAUCAUGGCCCUUACGGCCAGGGCGACACACGUGCUACAAUGGGUAGGACAAUGAGACGCAAUACCGCGAGGUGGAGCAAAUCUAUAAACCUACUCUCAGUUCGGAUUGUACUCUGCAACUCGAGUGCAUGAAGCUGGAAUCACUAGUAAUCGUAGAUCAGCCAUGCUACGGUGAAUACGUUCCCGGGUCUU